This 220-nucleotide long non-coding RNA is filed under the name Nicotiana benthamiana. RNAcentral describes it as "long non-coding RNA (NBEN_LNC020557)". The record is from RNAcentral. Lineage: Eukaryota; Viridiplantae; Streptophyta; Magnoliopsida; Solanales; Solanaceae.
UUGAGCAGACAACAGUAUGAUCAAUUGAUGAUCUUAUUACAAUAGACCCAGUUAGGGGACUCCACUGCUCAGACUCCUCCUCCCAUGUAUGCUGCUAACUUUGCUGGUACUAUGCUAAUUGAGAGCCCUAUUUCUGAUUCCAAACUCUGCAUGCUUACCCAUAUUAAUUCUGUCACCUGGAUCAUAGAUUCAGGUGCAUCUAAUCAUAUGACACAUGANN